CUAUUUGAUAUUUCUAGCGGCGGACGGGUGAGUAACGCGUGAGCAACCUGCCUUUAUCAGGGGGAUAACGCAUCGAAAGAUGUGCUAAUACCGCGUAAGACCACAGCCUCACAUGGGGCAGGGGUCAAAGGAGCAAUCCGGUGGAAGAUGGGCUCGCGUCUGAUUAGCUAGUUGGUGAGGUAACGGCCCACCAAGGCGACGAUCAGUAGCCGACCUGAGAGGGUGAUCGGCCACAUUGGAACUGAGAUACGGCCCAGACUCC
This 262-nucleotide ribosomal RNA is filed under the name uncultured Eubacteriales bacterium. RNAcentral describes it as "uncultured Clostridiales bacterium partial 16S ribosomal RNA". It matches the Rfam family "Bacterial small subunit ribosomal RNA", at positions 79 to 339 of the family's 1533-position model. The record is from RNAcentral. Lineage: Bacteria; Bacillati; Bacillota; Clostridia; Eubacteriales.